GGGGUUGUGGCUCAGUGGUAGAGCGCUCGUCUAACAUGUGUGAGGCUCUGAGUUCAAGCCUCAGUAGUACAU
RNAcentral lists this transfer RNA (72 nucleotides) under Ictidomys tridecemlineatus (thirteen-lined ground squirrel). Its description in RNAcentral is "Spermophilus tridecemlineatus (thirteen-lined ground squirrel) tRNA". It matches the Rfam family "tRNA". From Rfam's summary of the family: Transfer RNA (tRNA) molecules are approximately 80 nucleotides in length. The record is from Rfam by way of RNAcentral. Lineage: Eukaryota; Metazoa; Chordata; Mammalia; Rodentia; Sciuridae.